This 1274-nucleotide unclassified non-coding RNA is filed under the name Hevea brasiliensis (rubber tree). The record is from RNAcentral. Lineage: Eukaryota; Viridiplantae; Streptophyta; Magnoliopsida; Malpighiales; Euphorbiaceae.
AACAGUGGUGUUUAUUAACUGAAACCAAGCCACAGUUCCCAAGAGUCAACCAAGAUCUACAAACCAAGAAGCUCAGAAAAACAAGAGAAAGGAGCUAACUAUGGUGAGUGCCAGUAAGAUUCAACUACAUUUCUAUGCUUUGUUCAGUGAAUCAUACAGGGAGGGCAUAUCUUCUAUCCAAUCAGCAUAGAUGCCACUAAUUUUUUGUGCUGCUCUCUUCUUAAAUGCGCACUUCAUGCCUCGUACUUGCAGCUGAUAACUAGUCCCAAUUACAUUCUUGCUAAUGGGAAGAGUCUUCGAAGUGUUAGUUGGCACAAAACCAGAAAACAAUCCAAUGCGGCCAAUAGGCUUUUCUAGUUCUGCUUGUCCAUGAGCGAAGCAACAUAUCUUUCCAUAUGGGCAGCUUCCAGUCCUCUCCCAGUUGUUACAUGGUCUUUUCUUAAUCACUGGCUUUGAGCUCGCACAACCACUUCUGUGAAACCCUGAAAAUCCCGUAGUUCCAGUUCUUAUGGAUAAACUCUCCCUACAAGCCCCCAAUUCUCUCUUAAUAUUGUCAGGACUUACAUGAAGGAAACGACACUUAUCCCCAUAUGUGCAUUCUUUCCUGGAAUAGAACAUUCUGCAUAAAUUUGAUGGAUCUACUGCUCUAUAAAACCCGUUCCAAGUCCUGGACAAUCCAACCUCGUUCACCACAGGCGCUUGCACGUUAGGCAGGCGCUUCCGUAACUCAUCACUGCCAUGGGCAUAGCUACAUUUGGAACCAUAGCUACAAUACCCCAAUCUAAACUUCGCGCAUAGUUGGGUCUUGAAGCUGCCAGUCACAGCAUUGUUCGUUGCCACAGGCAUUUUAGGACAUGGGGCAGCAAUUUCGCAAGUUCUGGGUAUCUUGCAUAAUGGGUCUCCAUUUUGAGAGAGAUCUUGGUAUUCUUUAUUCUCAAUGGGAAACUGAGGGCGUAACUGAAGCAUUUGGCUACAAAUCCCAGAGGUAGAAACUAGAAGUAACAAUUUGCAGCCAAGUGCUUCUCGAGAACCAGAUGGAACUUCUUUAAGAUCACAAAAACCCAGAUAGUACUGAAGAUAAAAACAUCAAAUGUCACCAACAACACUCAAUCUUAUACAAAAGAUCCAAAUGAAAAUGCUGAACCGAGAACUGUCUCCAUUGAAUAAUCAAGAAAACCCCAUAUGAAUUAGAACACAGAGCACCAAAGAUUCAUCAAAGCUUUAGGAAAACCAUGUGAACUAAAAAGUAAAAACCCUAUAAAGAUUUCCCAAUG